UACAGAGGGUGCGAGCGUUGUUCGGAAUUACUGGGCGUAAAGAGCGCGUAGGCGGCACGGUACGACCGGUGUGAAAGCCCCCGGCUCAACUGGGGAGGGUCACCGGUAACGGUCGAGCUAUGAGUGCAGGAGAGGGAAGUGGAACUCCGGGAGUAGCGGUGAAAUGCGUAGAGACCCGGAGGAACACCAGUGGCGAAGGCGGCUUCCUGGUCUGCGACUGACGCUGUGGCGCGAAAGCUAGGGGAGCAAACGGG
RNAcentral lists this ribosomal RNA (254 nucleotides) under uncultured bacterium. RNAcentral describes it as "partial 16S ribosomal RNA". It matches the Rfam family "Bacterial small subunit ribosomal RNA", at positions 524 to 776 of the family's 1533-position model. The record is from RNAcentral.